This 312-nucleotide RNase P RNA is filed under the name Reclinomonas americana ATCC 50283. Its description in RNAcentral is "ribonuclease P RNA". It matches the Rfam family "Bacterial RNase P class A". Rfam says of the family: Ribonuclease P (RNase P) is a ubiquitous endoribonuclease, found in archaea, bacteria and eukarya as well as chloroplasts and mitochondria. Its best characterised activity is the generation of mature 5'-ends of tRNAs by cleaving the 5'-leader elements of precursor-tRNAs. The record is from RNAcentral. Lineage: Eukaryota; Jakobea; Jakobida; Histionidae.
AAAGUUUAUUAGAUGUUUGCUUAUAUAAUAUAUAAGAGGAAAGUCUGGACUCAUUUAUAAGAGUGCAAGAUAAAUUCUUGCAGAGAAGACUCUAGGGAAAGUGUUUUAGAAAAAAUAAAUAUUCUUUCUUUUUAUGAUUGAAUAUUUUUGAAAUGGUUUAUCCUAUUAUUUAAAUAAUUAAAUAUUAUAAAAACCCCACUUUGAGCAAAGUCAUAUGGCUGCUAAAGACAUAUACGUAAGAUAUUGUCGUAGAUAAAUAAACAUCCAUAAAAAAUUAUUUUUAUGACAGAAUCCAGCUUAUAGAUAAACUUU